GCGCCCGUGGUGGAAUUGGUAGACACGCUAGCUUGAGGUGCUAGUGGCUAAUCAAACGGCUGUGCUAGUUCGAGUCUAGUCGGGCGCACCA
This 91-nucleotide transfer RNA is filed under the name bacterium. Its description in RNAcentral is "tRNA-Leu". It matches the Rfam family "tRNA". From Rfam's summary of the family: Transfer RNA (tRNA) molecules are approximately 80 nucleotides in length. Their secondary structure includes four short double-helical elements and three loops (D, anti-codon, and T loops). Further hydrogen bonds mediate the characteristic L-shaped molecular structure. tRNAs have two regions of fundamental functional importance: the anti-codon, which is responsible for specific mRNA codon recognition, and the 3' end, to which the tRNAs corresponding amino acid is attached (by aminoacyl-tRNA synthetases). tRNAs cope with the degeneracy of the genetic code in two manners: having more than one tRNA (with a specific anti-codon) for a particular amino acid; and 'wobble' base-pairing, i.e. permitting non-standard base-pairing at the 3rd anti-codon position. RNAcentral also lists the same sequence under 3 other names. The record is from RNAcentral.